Manis javanica (Malayan pangolin) is the source of this 1260-nucleotide non-coding RNA. The record is from RefSeq and is a predicted model, not a curated record. Lineage: Eukaryota; Metazoa; Chordata; Mammalia; Pholidota; Manidae.
AAUGACAGACACACUCACUCUUCCCUGAAUAUGCCCUUGUUCUCAUUUUCUUGAGUUUGCAGAGGCUCUUCCCUCUCUCUGAUAUGCUUUUCCAAGGCCCUCUUCUAUUAAUUCUUCCUUGAUUUUUCAAAGUCUAAUUCCUGAAAUUCCAUACGAUUUAUUAUUUGAGUCAUGAGUAUUAUAAAGCACUUGGGAGAUUUUAGAAAAUGCACCUCGUCUCAAUCAACAGCACUAAAGGAAUUACAGAAGGCAAAUAGUCAAUCUUGAGUUGAUUUAGAGAUGAAGAAAGAGCCAUAUACUCCAGGGGCUCCAUGGGGCAGGGGGGCAGGUGUGUCUCGGGAGGAAGGAAAGGAGAGUGACUGGCUCUCCUCCCCACCCAGUCUUGCCCUUGAGGUGUGUGAACAGGGAGGUGGAUUUCACAUGGGUGAAUAUGUGCUCUCAAGAGACGUUGGAUCUUCUCCCAGAUCCCAAGAGGCCCUCUUCGCAGAAGAUGGUUCUACUCCAGAAAUUUUACAAAGGAGCAGCUUCUAGUAGAAACCACAGCUGUUAGAGUCACACAGGGAGCUCUUCUGCAUGGGGGCAAACACAAGGCGUAUUCAUACUGGACGAACUGUAGCUCAGUUCAAACACAUCCCCCACCACAUCUUCCCAUAUUCAGUGUUGAGAGUCCCAGAUUUCCAAAGGGAAUUUUCCUUGAAUGAAAUGUCAGGCCCUGCAGUGCAGUGGAGGGAGCAGGGCCUUCAGAUUAGAUGGGCCUGUGUUUUAAUUUUGACUGCGUCAUCUUGGGCAUGUGAAGCUCCUUGUGCCUUACUUACUUCAUCUACGAAACAGAACAGCAAUGCCAAUUGCAAGACUAUUGUGAGGAAUGCGGUGGCUUGCAAUAGAUGCUAAUUUUCUCUCCUUGACCAACAAAUAAAGGGUUUAUCCUCUUAAUUAUUCAUAUGAAAACAUUUGAUACAGAAGGCAGAUGCUUGCUUUUUGGAUCCUCUAUAUUUGGUGUGGAAGGCACCACUUGAGAGGUAACACUGUUCAGUCAGCUUCCUGCAACUUUGCCUGGACUAGCCUGCACACAUCCUGUUCACUGAUUCUCAUAAAUGUCUCUUUUCCAUGUGAUUCAGAGAAGUGACUAUGGUCUGAUUUUACAUCUUUGGUUUCAGCUAAGGUGUUUAUUUCAGGUUUGUUCUGCCUGGUAUCUGUCCAUCUGUCAAACAUUUAUUACACAGAGCGAAUGCCAGAAAACAUGGAGAGUGAAAAACAUGG